RNAcentral lists this non-coding RNA (40 nucleotides) under Plasmodium falciparum 3D7. The record is from RNAcentral. Lineage: Eukaryota; Apicomplexa; Aconoidasida; Haemosporida; Plasmodiidae.
UUCUGUUGGGAUAUAUGGAAAGCUAGAACUGCCUUCAUUG